Molecule: non-coding RNA, 90 nt
Organism: Canis lupus familiaris (dog)
Lineage: Eukaryota; Metazoa; Chordata; Mammalia; Carnivora; Canidae
Source: Rfam
GGGGGAGGCUGGAUCCUGGGCUGUGUCCCGGCGCCCUGUGCUCCGGGGCAUGCGCUGUUGGAUUCGCGCUCCCGGGCCGCGCAACGCCCU